Gorilla gorilla gorilla (western lowland gorilla) is the source of this 83-nucleotide ribosomal RNA. NCBI's taxonomy places the organism in Eukaryota, Metazoa, Chordata, Mammalia, Primates, Hominidae. The record is from Ensembl.
UCUAAGGCCACCCUACCCAGAAUGAGCCUGAUCUCAUCUGAUCUUGGAAGCUAAGCAGGAUCAGGCCUGGGUAGCUCUUGGAU